Molecule: long non-coding RNA, 655 nt
Organism: Mustela erminea (ermine)
Lineage: Eukaryota; Metazoa; Chordata; Mammalia; Carnivora; Mustelidae
Exons: 5
Source: RefSeq, a predicted model, not a curated record
UUUGGGCUCGAAUGCCCGGGCUCAGAUUUGGAGUCACCACUUAAACCGCGGGCCGCUCAUUCCGCUGUCCGCGCCUUGGUUCCCUCCUAAGGAAAGCGGAGAUCCCUACUAACAGUCCCCACCUCUCGGGCCGCCAGAAGUUAACCACCCUGUGCCCUUCGAACCGGGCUGUUGCGCUCCGCAAACCGAGGUGCACAGAUGCUGCCCCAGAACCAUCUAUUAAUAAUGAGCCGGUGAACGACCUCAGUCAGGAGAAGCUCUGCUGGAACAGGAGGGGACUUACGGAAGAUUUUGUUGCCUCAGUUUUUCCCCUUAGAACUAAUGGGCCAGCCACAGGCAGGUGAACGCAAUGGAGACGUUCUGGUCAAAUUCGAUUGCCACCUGGAAGAGGAAGGCACAGGUGAGCCUGAACUCUGAGCUUUAAGAGAGAAGGUACUGAAGUUCCCAUACUUGCAGUGCUGCAAAGAUCAACAUUUCUUCUUCCGUGCAGUCAAUUUCUUCCAAGAGGAUGGCCCACCUGGCUUGUUCAUAGAGUUGGUUGAUUCGGACAGCGUCGUACUAAGGGAAGAAACAGGCGGAGGCGAAGCAUUUUGUGCUGAGGGGUGAAGAGAAGCUUUGCGUCUGCCUGGACCCCACAUUUGUCCAGAGUCCAGUG